This is a long non-coding RNA of Lolium rigidum, 2370 nucleotides long. RefSeq lists it as uncharacterized. Lineage: Eukaryota; Viridiplantae; Streptophyta; Magnoliopsida; Poales; Poaceae. The record is from RefSeq and is a predicted model, not a curated record. The transcript is spliced from 3 exons.
CUCUCUCUACUUCUGAUUUACUACCAUAAACAAUUCACUGCCCAAGUCCCCGGCCGGCCGGCGCGUAUUCACUUCAAGUGAAUGCCACUGCCUACGAGUGACCUCAGGUCAGAGUCUGAACUAUUUUUAAGCACUCUGUAUUUCGAUGUGGUGAUGAGAUCACAAGUAAAAUACGGUUACCCUGUCGUACUUGCCCUAAAGGGUAAGAGUACUUCUCAUACACAUUUAUCUCACCUUGAACGCUUGGUUCUUUUGGUAAGUUCAGGAGAUCUUAGUCAACAACAAUGGUAUUGGUUGUACAUUGAUUAUUGUAUCUGUUGAUAUGUCUGUAGUCGACUACAACAUACUGUUUUGUUUUGCUUCUCUUGUAUUGCAACUCCAGUCCCAAUUUUAUAGUAGAGAUGACACUGAAUCAUUAGACAUUUGGGCCGCCAGAAAAUAACAUCUGAAUUCCUGCUACAUAAUUAACAAUUUAACACAGGUUAAUGAAUAGAUGCAUCUGACAAGUAGUGAUGACUACGACAUAUGGUAACCAUGCGAGCAUAUUGUCGAAGUGUUUUGUUUUAGUUUUUAAAACAAUAUUAAAGUGAAAUAGAUUAAGUAGCAAAGUAAACUGUUAUGUAGCAUGCAUCAAUUUCUUAAAUUCAAUGGAAAUAUGUUGUUUUAGAUGGGGUGAUAGAAUAGUAUAUGCUCUGAAUUAUUGUCCUUGCAUAAAUAUUUGUUGCAAUUAUAGUAAUUUUAAUACUCCCUCCGUCCAUAAGUAGAUGUCUUAGAGUUGACUUCUAUUUAUGGACAUUACUAAUACUAUGCAACUCAUGAAAUAUCUGGAUUUUUUUAGUAACCUGGUAGAGGCACCGCGGAAUAAGACCAUAUAAAUGGCUAAUAACAUUGUUGGGAUUUUGGCAUGGCUGGUGAAAGUUUUACGUUUUUCUAUGGAUUCGCGUAUAGUGAUUUGCUUGUUGCACUAUUACUACUAUUAGCUAUUUCCCCACAUUACUAAAAUGUUCCUAUCUAAUGGUUUUGUUUUGUUCGGUCUCAUUUUCAGGUUCAUUUCUUUGGAAAAUUCUCGGAUAUGUGGUUCUUAUAUAUUGGUUUGGGAAAUCUACACCUGACAUUUUGCAAUGGCUAAUGAGAAGAGUAUCUUCGUCAAUGUGCCAAAAUUGAUCGGGAAAUGCAUUUCUUGAUUCAUGGACAUUCACAGUCACCACAGACAUUUGGAUCAGCGGCAGGCCCAAGGCGGCUGCAGCAAGGGCGUCCACGUGCCUGACCUAUCUCUUAAGGCAAGCUAUAGUUUCUAAACUGGAUUGGAUCAGCGACCCGAGGGCAGGAGGCAGAAGGAGGUCUGCUUGGUGUUAAAGGAGAAGAGAUGGCACGGUGGAGAGCAAGGGGCCGGUCGAUGCUGAGAUAGACAAGGAGUGCAGGGUUGGCAUGGAGCUGAACAACAAGGUCAUGCUGCACAACUGUAGUCACACAAGGUGCAUCAAAGUGCUAUCAUCAAUGGUUAGAACCAGAACCGAAUCGCUUUAAUUUUUCUACCAUGUUGAAUCAGAGCACAUAUGUUUUGUUUAAUGCGAGUUCUAAAUGUAGCGUAGCCCAUGCUUCAUUUUGGUCAUGUUAAGUGCUCAAAGGACUGGUUAUGAAAGUGAUUUCAUGUCCUAUUUUGUUACCACACACCCAUUUAUUGUGCGUUGGUUUUAAAUUUUAUCUUUCGAGAUAGGAGCUAGGGAACUAAUUCUGACGUGAAACCUGACUGACAUGUAUUAAAUGGUAUAAAAGAAAGCAGAUAAUGAAACAUAUGAUAUUUCAGUGAUACAAAUUACAAUGAUUCUACGAUGAACACGGUAUCGGUCAUUUUAGAUCUGUUGAAACGCACAUGCGUAUUUUCCAUGAUAUAAAUAUCACUUGUUUUCUACUUUUGUCACUCAAAUGUUUCCCAAACAAGUUCCUAUUUCUGAAGAAAAAAAUGUGUGGGGUUCGGAAUUAGUAUUCAGAGUGAAAUGUUCAUAUGAUCAUUAGAUUCUACUAAAGCUCUCUUACUUCUCUUAGGUGAAAAGUUGCUACUGUUUGAGGAACAGAUUAAUAUUAUACCUUCACAGUAAGGCAUAGUCAAUCUUAUUGCAACAGGCAUAACAAACAAGACUUGAGUUGAUCUCUAUUGCAAAUAUAUCAUCUUAUUGGUUAUCCAUUCAUAUAUAGUUGUGUUCAGCCGAUCAUGCAUUAGUAGCCAGAGAAAAACCUUGAGUUUAGGCAGAGCUUUAGAAGACCAAAUUGCAUUAAGAGCUUCAUCUACAGGAACUUGCCCAAACAGAAAUUUAUAGUAGUUGGAUGGAGUGUAUUUAGCUCCCAACACAAGGGCCCUCUGGUCCAAUG